This 405-nucleotide ribosomal RNA is filed under the name uncultured bacterium. RNAcentral describes it as "partial 16S ribosomal RNA". It matches the Rfam family "Bacterial small subunit ribosomal RNA", at positions 28 to 526 of the family's 1533-position model. The record is from RNAcentral.
GACGAACGCUGGCGGCGUGCUUAACACAUGCAAGUCGAGCGGAGCGGCGAACGGGUGAGUAACGCGUGAGUAACUGCCCCCCUCUCUGGGAUAACAGUUGGCAACCGCUGCUAAUACACGCAAGUGGGGAUGGACUCGCGUCCUAGCAGCUUGUUGGUGGGGUAGUGGCCUACCAAGGAGACGACGGGUAGCCGGCCUGAGCGGGCGACCGGCCACAUUGGGCUGAGAUGCGGCACAAACACCUACGGGAGGCAGCAGUGGGGAAUAUUGCAUCAUGGGGGAAACCCUGAUGCAGCAACGCCGCGUGCGUGUUGACGGCCUUCGGGGUGUAAACAGCUUUCAGCCAUGAAGCGGUAGUGGCAGAAGAAGCACCGGCUAACUACGUGCGAGCAGCCGCGGUAAUAC